UGGCUGCUCUCCCAAGAGGACUUCUAUGCAUCCACUUGCCUAGUUAACUCCUUUUUCUGGCUCUCUAGCUAGACUCUUCAUGGAGUGGUCUGUUUUAGCAUCCUGUGGCUGCCGUAACAAAUCAACACAAACUUGGUGACUUAAAACAACAGUAAUUUAUUCUCCUAAGGCUGAAAUCAAGAUGUCAGCAGGGCUGCACUGCCUCCGAAGGCUCUUGGGGUGAAUGUCUCCUUGCCUUUCCCAGCCUCUGGUAUUGCAGUUGUCCUUGGCUUGUGGCAGCACAACUCCCAUCUCUGCCUCCAUCUUCACACAGUCGGCUCCCCUGUGUGUCUCUGUGUCUCCAGUCUCCCUCCCUGCCUUUCUCUCAUAAGAACACCUGUCAUUGGAUUUAGGGCCCACCCUAAAUCCAAGAUGACCUCAUCUCAAGGUCCUUAAGCUAAUUAGAUCUGCAAAGACCCUUUUCCCACAUAACGUCACAUUCACAAGUUUCUGAAGGUUAGAUCUUGGACUUGUCUUCUCCUAUCCAGCUGGACAAACUGCUGUUCAGCCCACUGCAUAGUCCAUUCCCUUCUACCCAGAUGGGCUCAUCCUGCUGUCUCUUGUCUGGGUGGGGGCACCCACAUUCCCGAAGUGGACAUGGGAAGUCCCUCUACCUCAUAUCCAGUCAGUCACCGAAGGCUGUCAAUGAACUCCUAAUUGCUCUCAAGAGCACCCUCUUUGAUUUCCGCGACAACCCUCCAUGGCUUUCUUUCUCCUCCUCAAGCUCCUUCCAGGGCCUUUGCAUGAACUCUUCCUCCUCUCUGGAAGGUUCUGUCCCUCACGCCUCAUGAGUGGGCUCACUCUCUUCAGAGUUCUCAGCUCAGCUACCACUGCCUACAAGAGGGCUUCCCUCCCUACUGGCCCUCCAGAAGCCCCGGUGACUCCACCGUGUCACUCUGUUUGUUCUUCCCCUAGUCCUUCAUAACAUCUGGUAUCUUCCUGUUUAUUUUUUUGUAGAUUUGUUCUCAUCUUAUUCACACACACACACACACACACACACACACACACACACACAAGCUCCAUGAGGCCAGAGAGCCUCAUCUAGUUUACCACCUCUGUAUUGCUAGUGUCUAAAUCAGACUAGCACAGAGUAAGCAUUUAAUACAAAUCUACUGAAGAAAUGAUUGAUGCUUUCAUGACUGCCUUUAUUUUCUUCGCCUGUUCAGACAAAGCUACCUUUUACCUGUCUCCGGUCACAUCUGAUCACACUGGGCUUAAAAAUCAUGACCAGUUUCCACAAGCUCUUCCUGGCUCCUUGCCUGGGCAUCCCAGGCCCUCGGUGACCUGCCCCUGUGGUGCUACCCAGCCCACCCCAGACGCUUCCUCAAGCUAUCCCUCUGGUCACACCUAAGGACUCUCCCAUGGCCCUUGCGCUGAGUCUUUGCACCUGGUGUCCUCUCUUCUGAUGGCUUGCUCUUCUUUCAGCUUGGGGUCUGUUUCUUCAUUCAAAACCCAGUUCCUGGCUGCACACAGUGGCUCACGCCUAUAAUCCCAGCAGUUUGGGAGGCUGAAGAGGGUGGAUCACCUGAGGUCAGGAGUUCAAGACCAGCCUGGCCAACAUGGUGAAACCCCGUCUCUACUAAAAAUACAAAAAAAAUUGCCAGGCACGGUGGUUCACGCCUGUAAUCCCAGCACUUUGGGAGGCUGAGGUGGGUGGAUUGCUUGAGGCCAGGAGUUCAAGACCAGCCUGGCCAACAUGGUGAAACCCCAUCUCUACUAAAAAUACAAAAAAUUAGCCAAGCAUGGUGGCGCACAUCUGUAAUCUCAGCUGCUCGGGAGGCUGAGGCACGAGAAUCGCUUCAAUCUGGGAGGCAGAGAUUGCAGUGAGCCAUGCUCGUACCACUGCACUCCUGCCUGGGUGACAGAGCGAGACUCUGUCUCAACAAAAAAGAAAAAAAAAACAGAAUACAAAAAAAUUAAAUGGGCGUGGUGGUGCACAUCUGUAGUCCCAGCUACUCAGGAGGCUGACACAGGAGAAUCACUUGAACCCAGGAGGCAGAGGUUGCAGUGAGCUGAGCUCACGUCACUGCUCUCCAGCCUGGUCGACAGAGCGAGUCUCUGUCUUAAAAAAAAAAAUAAAAACCAAAAAACCCAGUCCCUAUGUCACCGACUCCAGGAAGCUUUAUUUGACUUCCCUCUGCCGCCCUAGUGCCACAUGCUUUUGUCAUUACCCAUUCACACAAUCGCAUCACUUGCCUUCUUCAAUGCUUUCUCUACUCAACUGUCACUCCGUGAGGCUCAUCUCUGCAGCACCGGUGUCUAGCACAUCAUGAACACUCUGGAACCAGCACCAGUUCUACUUCCUCAGCCGGGCAGCUCUCCUGUUGGUCAGGUCCCAGACGCCCGUAGCACUGGGCAGGUUCAGCCCUGGUGUAGCACACCUCACACUCCUGGGGGCAUCACCAGGCUGCUGCUUGCCCCUGGAAUGCCUCCUGGCUUUGCCUCCAGGACAUGUUUUCUAGAAUUGCUUGUCAGCUUCUGACUUAUGGAGGCUGCCUUAAUUCCCUGCAUUUACAUGGGCUCAGGUUCCACAGUUUCCAAAUGCUUGCCAGUUCCCCUGGCCCUGGUGCCAGUGGCUAGUCUUCACUUACCGGAGCGAUCGCCGUGGGGUGUCCCAAAGCCAGCAAGAACCUUCCUCCCCAGCCAUGAAAACAAG
This 2695-nucleotide long non-coding RNA is filed under the name Homo sapiens (human). Its description in RNAcentral is "HSALNT0348843". The record is from RNAcentral. Lineage: Eukaryota; Metazoa; Chordata; Mammalia; Primates; Hominidae.